GUGGGGAAUCUUGCGCAAUGGGCGAAAGCCUGACGCAGCCAUGCCGCGUGAAUGAUGAAGGUCUUAGGAUUGUAAAAUUCUUUCACCGGGGACGAUAAUGACGGUACCCGGAGAAGAAGCUCCGGCUAACUUCGUGCCAGCAGCCGCGGUAAUACGAAGGGGGCUAGCGUUGCUCGGAAUUACUGGGCGUAAAGGGCGCGUAGGCGGACAGCUUAGUCAGAGGUGAAAGCCCAGGGCUCAACCUUGGAAUUGCCUUUGAUACUGGCUGUCUUGAGUUUGGGAGAGGUGGGUGGAACUCCGAGUGUAGAGGUGAAAUUCGUAGAUAUUCGGAAGAACACCAGUGGCGAAGGCGACUCACUGGCCCAAUACUGACGCUGAGGCGCGAAAGCGUGGGGAGCAAACAGGAUUAGAAACCCGAGUAGUCC
RNAcentral lists this ribosomal RNA (425 nucleotides) under uncultured bacterium. RNAcentral's name for it is "partial 16S ribosomal RNA". It matches the Rfam family "Bacterial small subunit ribosomal RNA", at positions 354 to 796 of the family's 1533-position model. The record is from RNAcentral.